GCCUCCUCGGGAGUUCUCUUCAAGCACUUCAGGAUAUGUCUUUUCAAGAACUUCUCUGAAGUGUUUGGGGGAACUCUCGGUGUCAC
Molecule: microRNA precursor, 86 nt
Filed under: Triticum aestivum (bread wheat)
Lineage: Eukaryota; Viridiplantae; Streptophyta; Magnoliopsida; Poales; Poaceae
Description: mir-395 microRNA precursor family
Rfam family: mir-395 microRNA precursor family
About the family: mir-395 was identified in both Arabidopsis thaliana and Oryza sativa computationally and was later experimentally verified. mir-395 is thought to target mRNAs coding for ATP sulphurylases. The mature sequence is excised from the 3' arm of the hairpin.
Source: Rfam by way of RNAcentral